GACGAACGCUGGCGGCGUGCCUAAUACAUGCCAGUAGAACGCUGAAGAGAGGAGCUUGCUCUUCUUGGAUGAGUUGCGAACGGGUGAGUAACGCGUAGGUAACCUGCCUGGUAGCGGGGGAUAACUAUUGGAAACGAUAGCUAAUACCGCAUAAAAUGGAUUAUCGCAUGAUAAUCCAUUGAAAGGUGCAAAUGCAUCACUACCAGAUGGACCUGCGUUGUAUUAGCUAGUUGGUGGGGUAACGGCUCACCAAGGCGACGAUACAUAGCCGACCUGAGAGGGUGAUCGGCCACACUGGGACUGAGACACGGCCCAGACUCCUACGGGAGGCAGCAGUAGGGAAUCUUCGGCAAUGGACGGAAGUCUGACCGAGCAACGCCGCGGGAGUGAAGAAGGGUUUCGGAUCGUAAAGCUCUGUUGUAAGAGAAGAACGAGUGUGAGAGUGGAAAGUUCACACUGUGACGGUAUCUUACCAGAAAGGGACGGCUAACUACGUG
This 497-nucleotide ribosomal RNA is filed under the name uncultured bacterium. RNAcentral describes it as "partial 16S ribosomal RNA". It matches the Rfam family "Bacterial small subunit ribosomal RNA", at positions 28 to 507 of the family's 1533-position model. The record is from RNAcentral.